CGGACGGGUGAGUAACACGUGGAUAACCUACCUAUAAGACUGGGAUAACUUCGGGAAACCGGAGCUAAUACCGGAUAAUAUAUUGAACCGCAUGGUUCAAUAGUGAAAGACGGUUUUGCUGUCACUUAUAGGUGGAUCCGCGCCGCAUUAGCUAGUUGGUAAGGUAACGGCUUACCAAGGCAACGAUGCGUAGCCGACCUGAGAGGGUGAUCGGCCACACUGGAACUGAGACACGGUCCAG
This 241-nucleotide ribosomal RNA is filed under the name uncultured Staphylococcus sp. RNAcentral describes it as "partial 16S ribosomal RNA". It matches the Rfam family "Bacterial small subunit ribosomal RNA", at positions 99 to 334 of the family's 1533-position model. Lineage: Bacteria; Bacillati; Bacillota; Bacilli; Caryophanales; Staphylococcaceae. The record is from RNAcentral.